RNAcentral lists this ribosomal RNA (545 nucleotides) under Cameraria hamadryadella. Its description in RNAcentral is "eukaryotic LSU rRNA". Lineage: Eukaryota; Metazoa; Arthropoda; Insecta; Lepidoptera; Gracillariidae. The record is from RNAcentral.
GAACGGAGAGAUUCAUCGUUAUUCCGCGGCGCGUCCCGCGUACCACCGAUAUCGUCACCCUCGGGUGGCGGCACGGCGCUCGUGGUGACGCUCCCCGUGGACGGCGUGCACUUCUCUCUUAGUAAGACAUCGCGACCCGUUCGAUGUUGGUCUCGUGCCCUGUCCGGGUGCCCUGCGGCACUCGUGCCGUAGGACCGGGCGGCGGCCGGCCUACUGUCGGACGGUAUGAUGACUUGAUCCGCGCACGCGCUGUGCGCGUCCGGCACGACGCAAGGCGCCGCCGUGUCGGGGUCCUGCCGCGAGGCGGUCCUCGAUGCGGUGGUGUCUGUUGUCGCAGCCGUUUGUCUCGGACUGUGCGCGUCUCGGUCUGCGAUGAUUCAGUUUCGGGCACUCGCAGGACCCGUCUUGAAACACGGACCAAGGAGUCUAGCAUGUGUGCGAGUCAUUAAGAUUUGAAAACUGAAAGGCGCAACGAAAGUGAAGGCGUGCGCUCGUCGCGCGCUCAGGGAGGAUGGGGUGCGAUCUCGGUCGCUCUCUCGCACUCC